RNAcentral lists this ribosomal RNA (437 nucleotides) under uncultured Oscillospiraceae bacterium. RNAcentral describes it as "partial 16S ribosomal RNA". It matches the Rfam family "Bacterial small subunit ribosomal RNA", at positions 341 to 792 of the family's 1533-position model. The record is from RNAcentral. Lineage: Bacteria; Bacillati; Bacillota; Clostridia; Eubacteriales; Oscillospiraceae.
ACGGAAGGCAGCAGUGGGGAGUAUUGGGCAAUGGGCGAAAGCCUGACCCAGCAACGCCGCGUGAAGGAAGAAGGUCUUCGGAUUGUAAACUUCUUUUAUGAGGGACGAAGGACGUGACGGUACCUCAUGAAUAAGCCACGGCUAACUACGUGCCAGCAGCCGCGGUAAUACGUAGGUGGCAAGCGUUAUCCGGAUUUACUGGGUGUAAAGGGCGCGUAGGCGGGGAGACAAGUCAGGUGUGAAAUCUAUGGGCUUAACCCAUAAACUGCAUUUGAAACUGUAUCUCUUGAGUGCUGGAGAGGUAGAUGGAAUUCCUUGUGUAGCGGUGAAAUGCGUAGAUAUAAGGAAGAACACCAGUGGCGAAGGCGAGCUACUGGACAGUAACUGACGCUGAGGCGCGAAAGAGUGGGGAGCAAACAGGAUUAGAUACCCUGGUA